RNAcentral lists this ribosomal RNA (554 nucleotides) under uncultured bacterium. RNAcentral describes it as "bacterial SSU rRNA". It matches the Rfam family "Bacterial small subunit ribosomal RNA", at positions 777 to 1345 of the family's 1533-position model. The record is from RNAcentral.
AAUAGAUACCCCGGUAGUCCACGCCGUAAACGAUGGAUGCUAGCUGUUAUGCGUAUCGACCCGUGUAGUAGCGAAGCUAACGCGUUAAGCAUCCCGCCUGGGGAGUACGAACGCAAGUUUAAAACUCAAAGGAAUUGACGGGGACCCGCACAAGCGGUGGAGCGUGUUCUUUAAUUCGAGGCUAAGCGAAGAACCUUACCAGGGCUUGACAUCCUUGGAAUUUCUCCGAAAGGAGAGAGUACUUUAUUGGACCAAAUGACAGGUGCUGCAUGGCCGUCGUCAGCUCGUGUCGUGAGAUGUUUGGUUAAGUCCAUUAACGAGCGCAACCCUUAUGAAUAGUUGUAUUUUUCUAUUCAGACUGCCCCGGUAACGGGGAGGAAGGGGGGAUGAUGUCAGGUCAGUAUUGCCCUUACGCCCUGGGCUAGAAACGCGCUACAAUGGCCGGUACAAUGCGCUGCCAACCCGCGAGGGGGAGCAAAUCGCAUCAAAGCCGGUCCCAGUUCGGAUAAGAGGCUGAAACUCGCCUCUUUGAAGCCGGAAUCGCUAGUAAUCGU